AUUACAAUAGCUGCUGGAGCUGUAAGAAAAAAGGAGGAAAAUUACAUAUAUAGACAGAUAGAUAGAAACAGAUAGAAAGACACACAGAGAGAGAGAGAGAGAGAGAGAGAGAGAGAGACAGACAGAAGGCAGACAGACAGAUAGACAGAGAAAGCGAUAGAUAGAGAUAGCGAGAGAGCGAGAGGCCCUGCAAAGCCUUAUAAAGCCCUGCAAUGCCAAGAGCUGAGCCGAGAGAAGAGUCUCCUCACCCGGCUGCUCCUGAACCUCAGCUCACUAACACACACUUACACACACUAACACACACUAACACACACACCCUAACACACACUAACACACGCUUACACACACUAACACACACUAACACACACUUACACACACUUACACACACUAACACACACACCCUAACACACACUAACACACGCUUACACACACUAACACACACUAACACACACUUACACACACUUACACACACUAACACACACACCCUAACACACACUAACACACGCUUACACACCCUAACACACACUAACACACGCUUACACACACACCCUAACACACACACCCUAACACACACUAACACACGCUUACACACACACCCUAACACACACUAACACACACUUACACACACACCCUAACACACACUAACACACACUAACACACACUAACACACACUAACACACACACCCUAACACACACUAACACACGCUUACACACACUUACACACACUUACACACACUAACACACACUUACACACACUAACACACACUAACACACACACCCUAACACACACUAACACACGCUUACACACACUUACACACACUUACACACACUAACACACGCUUACACACACUAACACACAUUUACACACACUAACAAACACUAACACACACACCCUAACACACACUAACACACUUACACACACUAACACACACUAACACACACUAACACACACACCCUAACACACACUAACACACUUACACACUAACACACACUAACACACACACCCUAACACACACUAACACACGCUUACACACACUAACACACACUUACACACACUAACACACACUAACACACACACCCUAACACACACUAACACACGCUUACACACACUAACACACACUUACACACACUAACACACAUUUACACACACUAACAAACACUAACACACACACCCUAACACACACUAACACACGCUUACACACACUAACACACACACCCUAACACACACUAACACACACUAACACACACACCCUAACACACACUAACACACUUACACACUAACACACACUAACACACACACCCUAACACACACUAACACAUGCUUACACACACUAACACACUUACACACACUAACACACACUUACACACACUAACACACACUAACACACACUAACACACGCUUACACACACUAACACACACUUACACACACUAACACACUAACACACACUUACACACACACCCUAACACACACUAACACACGCUUACACACACUAACACACACUUACACACACUAACACACAUUUACACACACUAACACACACUUACACACACACCCUAACACACACUAACACACACUAACACACACUAACACACACUAACACACACUUAUACACACUAACACACAUUUACACACACAAACACACACUUACACACACUUACACACACUAACACACACUUACACACAUUAACACACGCUUACACACACUAACACACACUAACACACACUUACACACACACACUAACACACACUUACACACACUAACACACACUUACAAAUACACACUAACACACACUUACACACACUAACACACACUAACACACACUUGCACACACUUACACACACUAACACACACUUACACACACUAACACACACUUCUACAUCGGGAGCAGCCGGACACAAGAACAAUCACACCAACAAUCAGACGUCACCAAAUUAUAAGUACAGACUCACACACACACACUGGCCAUGGAGACGGGCCGCUAUAAGUACACACUCUCUCUCUCACACACACACACACACACACACACACACACUCACACACACACCAUGUGAGAAACACAGUGUGAUUAGAAGAGAACACCAACACUUGAUCUGAAUACACAGAGAGGAGUUCAGUUCACACUGCACACUCGUCA
This is a long non-coding RNA of Ictalurus punctatus (channel catfish), 2137 nucleotides long. The record is from Ensembl. NCBI's taxonomy places the organism in Eukaryota, Metazoa, Chordata, Actinopteri, Siluriformes, Ictaluridae.